Molecule: ribosomal RNA, 328 nt
Filed under: uncultured eukaryote
Lineage: Eukaryota
Description: partial 18S ribosomal RNA
Rfam family: Eukaryotic small subunit ribosomal RNA
Source: RNAcentral
CCCUUAGAUGUUCUGGGCUGCACGCGCGCUACACUGAUGCACUCAACGAGUUUACGACCUUGUCCGAGAGGAUUGGGUAAUCUUUUUAAAAUGCAUCGUGAUGGGGAUAGAUUAUUGAAAUUAUUAAUCUUGAACGAGGAAUUCCUAGUAAACGCAGAUCAUCAAUCUGCAUUGAUUACGUCCCUGCCCUUUGUACACACCGCCCGUCGCACCUACCGAUUGGAUGGUCCGGUGAAGCCUCGGGAUUGUGGUUCUUGCCGCUUUAUUGUGGCGUGACCGCGAGAACUUGUCUAAACCUUAUCAUCUAGAGGAAGGUGAAGUCGUAACA